This 845-nucleotide long non-coding RNA is filed under the name Homo sapiens (human). RNAcentral's name for it is "HSALNT0395852". Lineage: Eukaryota; Metazoa; Chordata; Mammalia; Primates; Hominidae. The record is from RNAcentral.
AAAGCGCAGGUCCCCGCCUCGGCAGCCACGGGACACCUGCAUCUGCCAACAAGACUGGAAGCAGAAAGGGACAGAGACGGCGAAGUUUGACGGUCUGGAAAGCAGAGACCAGCAGGGCUGACUGCUUGGGAGCACCAAAUAUCCGGACAGCGCCUCUCGGGAGGUCCGAGAAGAGAACCGCGAUCUGUUUCAGCACCGGGGCUCAGGACAGUUCCCAGCGGGCUCCGUUUCGUCUCCAGAACCCUGGACAGCUCCUCCAGACUUCGGUGAGAAACCUUGUGCCAAGCAUUUUACAUACAUCAUAUCAUGCCAUCUUCAACCCUAGGACAUGGGUGUUACUGUGCCCAUGUGACAUUUGGGGAACCCAAGGCCCUGAGAAAGGCAGAAAAAUAACCCACGCAGGGACUCUCAGCCCACAAGUGAAGCUGAGAACCGGGAAUGGAAAACAGGGAGGCAGCACAGAGGCAGGAAACUCAGGUGUCAUAGCUUGGCUCAGCUUGGAAUGCACUCCCUCCACCUCCAACCAGAGCUCCCCACAACUGACCCUGCCUUCUUCUGCAAGCUCCAUUUCAUCAAGGGAAACGAUCCUUAUUGCCUCACCAUUUCCCACGUGAAGUCUGUAUUGACAUUCUCAUAGACCUGGGAUAUUGUGUCUGCAGCACAUAGUCCAAUUAUUUUCAUGUUAUCUACUGACAGGUCUAUUUGUCUCCCUGUUACACUGUGAGCUCCGUGAGGGCAGAAACAAUGUUAGUAUUUUCACUGCUGUGUCCCCAGCGCCUGGUCCGGGGCCCGGCACACAGCAGGCAUAUAAUAAGCAUGUGUUGAAUCAAUAAAGGCAUCAAAGA